This is a long non-coding RNA of Macrobrachium nipponense, 756 nucleotides long. RefSeq lists it as uncharacterized. The transcript is spliced from 4 exons. The record is from RefSeq and is a predicted model, not a curated record. NCBI's taxonomy places the organism in Eukaryota, Metazoa, Arthropoda, Malacostraca, Decapoda, Palaemonidae.
UUCAAACACCGAAGUUCCCGCGGAAAUUGCAUAGAUCCUUUGUGUAUAGUGCGAUUUUUCCGUUCAUUAUCUUUAUCAUUGCAGAAAUGGGCGCAGGAAUUCUUCAGAAGAUGAAGUAACAUUUCACAGGAUACCCGUGCGGAGAGAUAGAUACCCCCAACUGCGGUUCUCCUUGGCUGGAAGUAACGCGCUAUUGUUGGAGUAACGACAUAUUCAACUAAUAAUUCGCGGGGUGUCGUCGCGUCUGGCAGCGUUCAAGUGUCUGGUGUCUCGAACGGCUUCCUGUUGUGUGGGUCUCUUUUCUUCGUCGAUUUGCUGGCGGUUGAGUUUCAGCGUUUCCUCGUAGUGGAUAUGAAUACUGUGGCUUUCGCCUAUUUCUUUUCGUGCCAGAGGUCGUUUGAAUUCCAGGGACUUCUUGGUAACUAUUUUUCCUUCAAAACUGAGCGGUACUGUUGGUGGUAACUGAUGGUCAACAGUGGUAUAUGUGCGUUUCUAAAUGCUAAUCUCGGUAGGUACUCCUUUGAAGUGAAAAAUGAAAAUUUGGAGUGCUGGAAGAGCCUAGCAUAGCACUCGACCCACGACCAAGCCGUAGCAUUUAAACCCUGGUUUCAUUGAGCUGGAAGUUACGUAUAACUUCUAGUAAGUUGGCUGCCAUUACUUGGUGUUUGGAUAAAAUUGUUGGAGCAAUAAUGUGGUGUGAUAAAUGUAUGCUUAUGGAAGUUUUGGUUGUUUCUCUUAAGUUAAUUUACAUUAUGG